AUUGAACGCUGGCGGCAGGCCUAACACAUGCAAGUCGAACGAGUGGCGGACGGGUGAGUAAUGUCUGGGCAACUGCCUGAUGGAGGGGGAUCACUACUGGAAACGGUAGCUCAUACCGCAUACCAUCGGAUGUGCCCAGAUGGGUUUAGCUAGUAGGUGGGGUAACGGCUCACCUAGGCGACGAUCCCUCUCUGGUCUGAGAGGAUGACCAGCCAAACUGGAACUGAGACACGGUCCAGACGCAUACGGGAGGCAGCAGUGGGUAAUAUUGCACAAUGGGCGCAAGCCUGAUGCAGCCAUGCCGCGUGUAUGAAGAAGGCCUUCGGGUUGUAAAGUACUUUCAGCGGGGAGGCGUGACCCGCAGAAGAAGCACCGGCUAACUCCGUGCCAGCAGCCGCGGGAAUUC
Molecule: ribosomal RNA, 406 nt
Filed under: uncultured bacterium
Lineage: Bacteria
Description: partial 16S ribosomal RNA
Rfam family: Bacterial small subunit ribosomal RNA
Source: RNAcentral